This 1094-nucleotide ribosomal RNA is filed under the name uncultured organism. Its description in RNAcentral is "bacterial SSU rRNA". It matches the Rfam family "Bacterial small subunit ribosomal RNA", at positions 370 to 1488 of the family's 1533-position model. The record is from RNAcentral.
CAUGGACGGAAGUCUGAUGCAGCGACGCCGCGCGAGUGAAGAAGGCCUUCGGGUUGUAAAACUACUAAAGAGGGGGAAGAGCGAGGACGGUACCCCAUGGAAUAAAGCGUCGGCUAAACUACGGUGCCAAGCAGCCGCGGUAAGACGUAGGACGCGAGCGUUAUCCGGAUUUACUGGGCGUAAAGCGUCUGUAGCCGAAUGUGUAAGUUGGGCGUGAAAGCUCCGGGCUUAACCCGGAGAGCCCGUUCAAUACUGCAUAACUUGAGGGUGUCAGAGGGGAACGGAAUUCCCGGUGUAGCGGUAAAAUGCGCAGAGAUCGGGAGGAACACCAGUGGCGGAGGCGGUUCCCUGGGGCACACCUGACGCUGAGAGACGAAAGCUAGGGGAGCGAACAGGAUUAGAGACCCUGGUAGUCCUAGCCCUAAACGAUGAAUGCUAGGUGUGGGAUCGAAUGGUUCCGUGCCGGAGCGAACGCGAUAAGCAUUCCGCCUGGGGAGUACGGCCGCAAGGUUAAAACUCAAACGAAUUGACGGGGCCCCGCACAAGCAGCGGAGCGUGUGGUUUAAUUCGAUGCUACACGAAGAACCUUACCUGGGUUUGACAUGUAGGUGGUAGUGGAUCGAAAGGUGAACGACCCUUCGGGGAGCCUACACAGGUGCUGCAUGGCUGUCGUCAGCUCGUGCCGUGAGGUGUCGGGUUAAGUCCCGUAACGAGCGCAACCCUUGCUCCUAGUUACAAGUGUCUAGGGGGACUGCCGGCGGAAAGCCGGAGGAAGGUGGGGAUGACGUCAAGUCAGCAUGGCCCUUAUAUCCAGGGCUACACACACGCUACAAUGGUCGGUACAAAGGGCAGCGAAACCGCGAGGCGGAGCGAAUCCGAGAAAAGCCGAUCGUAGUUCGGAUAGCAGGCUGCAACCCGCCUGCUUGAAGCUGGAGUUGCUAGUAACCGCGCGUCAGCCAUAGCGCGGUGAUACGUUCCCGGGGCUUGUACACACCGCCCGUCACGUCAUGGGAGUCGGUAACGCCUGAAGCCGGUAGUCUAACUGGAAACAGGAGACGCUGUCGAGGGCGGGACUGGCAACUGGGACGAAGUCG